GCCGAUUUAGCUCAGUUGGUAGAGCACUUCAUUCGUAAUGAGGGGUCAUCAGUUCAAAUCUGAUAAUCGGCACCA
This 75-nucleotide transfer RNA is filed under the name Rhodospirillaceae bacterium. Its description in RNAcentral is "tRNA-Thr". It matches the Rfam family "tRNA". From Rfam's summary of the family: Transfer RNA (tRNA) molecules are approximately 80 nucleotides in length. Their secondary structure includes four short double-helical elements and three loops (D, anti-codon, and T loops). Lineage: Bacteria; Pseudomonadati; Pseudomonadota; Alphaproteobacteria; Rhodospirillales; Rhodospirillaceae. The record is from RNAcentral.